This 650-nucleotide ribosomal RNA is filed under the name uncultured bacterium. RNAcentral describes it as "bacterial SSU rRNA". It matches the Rfam family "Bacterial small subunit ribosomal RNA", at positions 8 to 671 of the family's 1533-position model. The record is from RNAcentral.
AGAGUUUGAUCAUGGCUCAGGAUGAACGCUGGCGGCACGCUUAACACAUGCAAGUCGAACGAGGUCCAUGGAGCUUGCUCCGGAAGACUUAGUGGCGAACGGGUGCGUAACACGUGAGAAAUCUGCCCCGGACUUCGGAAUAACAGUUGGAAACGACUGCUAAUACCGGAUGCCUUCAUUUGACCGCAUGGUUGUUUAAAGAAAGAUUUAUCGGUUUGGGAGGAUCUCGCGGCCUAUCAGCUUGUUGGAGAGGUAACGGCUCACCAAGGCUUCGACGGGUAGCUGGUCUGAGAGGAUGAUCAGCCACACUGGAACUGAGACACGGUCCAGACUCCUACGGGAGGCAGCAGUGGGGAAUCUUGCACAAUGGGCGCAAGCCUGAUGCAGCGAUGCCGCGUGCGGGAAGAAGGCCUUAGGGUUGUAAACCGCUUUCAGGAGGGAAGAAAAUGACGGUACCUCCAGAAGAAGGUGCGGCCAACUACGUGCCAGCAGCCGCGGUGACACGUAGGCACCAAGCGUUAUCCGGAUUUAUUGGGCGUAAAGAGCUCGUAGGCGGUUUGGUAAGUCGGGUGUGAAAACUCUGGGCUCAACCCAGAGAGGCCACUCGAUACUGCUAUGACUAGAGUACGGUAGGGGAGCGGGGAAUUCCU